GGUUGAUCCUGCCAGUAGUCAUAUGCUUGUCUCAAAGAUUAAGCCAUGCAUGUCUAAGUAUAAGCUUGUUUAUACGGCGAGACUGCGGAUGGCUCAUUAAAUCAGUUAUAGUUUAUUUGAUGGUCUCUUUUGUCUUUUUUUUACCUACUUGGAUAACCGUGGUAAUUCUAGAGCUAAUACAUGCGCAAGGUCCCAAGCGCGGGGCGGCUCCUCGCGGGCCGCUCGCAUGUGCAGCGGGAUGUAUUUAUUAGGUUAAAAACCAGCACUCAAAACCUCACUGGUGAUUCAUAGU
Molecule: ribosomal RNA, 292 nt
Filed under: uncultured eukaryote
Lineage: Eukaryota
Description: partial 18S ribosomal RNA
Rfam family: Eukaryotic small subunit ribosomal RNA
Source: RNAcentral